RNAcentral lists this ribosomal RNA (301 nucleotides) under uncultured bacterium. Its description in RNAcentral is "partial 16S ribosomal RNA". It matches the Rfam family "Bacterial small subunit ribosomal RNA", at positions 509 to 807 of the family's 1533-position model. The record is from RNAcentral.
CAGUAGCCGCGGUAAUACGAAGGGCGCAAGCGUUAAUCGGAAUUACUGGGCGUAAAGCGUGCGUAGGCGGUGAGUUAAGUCUGCUGUGAAAUUCCUGGGCUUAACCUGGUGGCUGCAUUUGAGACGUCAAGACUAGAGUGUGAGAGAGGGUUGUGGAAUUCCCAGUGUAGAGGUGAAAUUCGUAGAUAUUCGGAAGAACACCAGCGGCGAAGGCGACACACUGGCUCAUUACUGACGCUGAGGCGCGAAAGCGUGGGGAGCAAACAGGAUUAGAUACCCCCGUAGUCCCUGUCUCUUAUAC